RNAcentral lists this ribosomal RNA (301 nucleotides) under uncultured bacterium. RNAcentral's name for it is "partial 16S ribosomal RNA". It matches the Rfam family "Bacterial small subunit ribosomal RNA", at positions 509 to 807 of the family's 1533-position model. The record is from RNAcentral.
CAGCCGCCGCGGUAAUACGGAGGGUGCAAGCGUUAAUCGGAAUUACUGGGCGUAAAGCGCACGCAGGCGGUUUGUUAAGUCAGAUGUGAAAUCCCCGAGCUUAACUUGGGAACUGCAUUUGAAACUGGCAAGCUAGAGUCUUGUAGAGGGGGGUAUAAUUCCAGGUGUAGCGGUGAAAUGCGUAGAGAUCUGGAGGAAUACCGGUGGCGAAGGCGUCCCCCUGGACAAAGACUGACGCUCAGGUGCGAAAGCGUGGGGAGCAAACAGGAUUAGAUACCCCGGUAGUCCCUGUCUCUUAUAC